Rhagoletis zephyria (snowberry fruit fly) is the source of this 1104-nucleotide long non-coding RNA. RefSeq lists it as uncharacterized. Lineage: Eukaryota; Metazoa; Arthropoda; Insecta; Diptera; Tephritidae. The record is from RefSeq and is a predicted model, not a curated record.
AAAAUGAUCUAUCAUUUUCUGAUAGAGAAUCAUUUUCUGAUAGACAUUGAUAAUUUUGGUGUUGAUGUAUAUUACUUUCACCAAUCAUAAAUUUAAUAAAGAACGCUGCUUUUAAUUCUAAAAUCUUCAGUGCUCGAUCACCCUCUUUCACCUUUUCAAAAUGGCUAUGACACAGUUUGUAAUGUCUUUUUAAACAAGACAUAACAUUGCGACUCAAAACGCGAUAGCAGAUCACGCAUCCAUGUUUUCUAUGCAAAAAAAAAAUUAUUUACCAUUCCUCCCGAAAAAUUUUAUGUGUGUAUUAUUCGAAUAAAUGCGCAGUGAAGUCUCAGCAGCACAGUAUACCAGUAGAAAAGGUUUUUGUUUUUGUAGCUGUUUCGUGGUGAAAGUCCUUUAUGGGGACCAAAUUUCCACACAAGAAAUUGAGCACAUGGUUGCUUUUGCGUCCCAAAAGAAUGAAUAUUAGAAAACAUUUAAAAAAAGUCUAAGUUUGCUCUGAGCGCUUGUGUUGUUUACCAAAAAAAUGCAGCCCUGUUGGUUUUUGUUUCUGUAUCGCAUCGCGGUGAGUUUCUAUUUCUUGGUAAUUCGGUUUGUGAAAUGACUAUUAAUUACAAGCACAGCAUCAUCAACGGUGAUUGCAAGAACUACUGCAAUCCCUGCGGUUUUUCCUCUUGGUAAAUGCGUUCAGGUCGUGAUCAAGGGUGGUCUCCCAAAUCGGCCGGGAAUAAGGCUAUUGUUGCAGAACAAAACGCCGCAACCAGUGCUGUGGUAAAUAUGUUCCAGCAGAACUGCCCACCGCCGUCGGUGUAAUGAUUUCGAUGGCUGAACAAACGCCAUCUCCUGGGCUAUUCCCACAGCUUGCGGACACUAGCUAUUAUAUCACGUGUGAAUGCAACUGCGGCUUAAUUUGGUUAUUAACAGUGCAGUAGUACCAUGUCAUUGGCAAAACGACUAAGGGCUGCUGGCACAAAUAGGUUGUAAAGUUUUUGGUAUCGAUGAACAUACUCGAAGAAGACGAUGACCGAAAACAUAUGAUGAAACAUCUUCUGGCAUGCCUUUGACAAUCGUUAAGUCAGACGGAGGCUUCACAUACGAUAUUUCACA